This 40-nucleotide small nuclear RNA is filed under the name Cervus elaphus hippelaphus. It matches the Rfam family "U2 spliceosomal RNA", at positions 1 to 40 of the family's 192-position model. Rfam says of the family: U2 is a small nuclear RNA (snRNA) component of the spliceosome (involved in pre-mRNA splicing). Complementary binding between U2 snRNA (in an area lying towards the 5' end but 3' to hairpin I) and the branchpoint sequence (BPS) of the intron results the bulging out of an unpaired adenosine, on the BPS, which initiates a nucleophilic attack at the intronic 5' splice site, thus starting the first of two transesterification reactions that mediate splicing. Lineage: Eukaryota; Metazoa; Chordata; Mammalia; Artiodactyla; Cervidae. The record is from RNAcentral.
AUCACUUCUCGGCCUUUUGGCUAAGAUCAAGUGUAGUAUC